RNAcentral lists this ribosomal RNA (431 nucleotides) under uncultured bacterium. RNAcentral describes it as "partial 16S ribosomal RNA". It matches the Rfam family "Bacterial small subunit ribosomal RNA", at positions 29 to 507 of the family's 1533-position model. The record is from RNAcentral.
AACGAACGCUGGCGGCAGGCCUAACACAUGCAAGUCGAGCGCCCUUUCGGGGGAGCGGCGGACGGGUGAGUAACGCGUGGGAAUAUGCCCUUCUCUACGGAAUAGCCUCGGGAAACUGAGAGUAAUACCGUAUACGCCCUUUGGGGGAAAGAUUUAUCGGGGAAGGAUUAGCCCGCGUUGGAUUAGGUAGUUGGUGGGGUAAUGGCCUACCAAGCCGACGAUCCAUAGCUGGUUUGAGAGGAUGAUCAGCCACACUGGGACUGAGACACGGCCCAGACUCCUACGGGAGGCAGCAGUGGGGAAUCUUAGACAAUGGGGGCAACCCUGAUCUAGCCAUGCCGCGUGAGUGAUGAAGGCCUUAGGGUUGUAAAGCUCUUUCAGCCGGGAAGAUAAUGACGGUACCAGCAGAAGAAGCCCCGGCUAACUCCGUG